This 253-nucleotide ribosomal RNA is filed under the name uncultured bacterium. RNAcentral's name for it is "partial 16S ribosomal RNA". It matches the Rfam family "Bacterial small subunit ribosomal RNA", at positions 524 to 776 of the family's 1533-position model. The record is from RNAcentral.
UACGGGGGGGGCAAGCGUUGUUCGGAAUUACUGGGCGUAAAGGGCUCGUAGGCGGCCAACUAAGUCAGACGUGAAAUCCCUCGGCUUAACCGGGGAACUGCGUCUGAUACUGGAUGGCUUGAAUCCGGGAGGGGGAUGCGGAAUUCCAGGUGUAGCGGUGAAAUGCGUAGAUAUCUGGAGGAACACCGGUGGCGAAGGCGGCAUCCUGGACCGGCAUUGACGCUGAGGAGCGAAAGCCAGGGGAGCAAACGGG